RNAcentral lists this ribosomal RNA (497 nucleotides) under uncultured bacterium. Its description in RNAcentral is "partial 16S ribosomal RNA". It matches the Rfam family "Bacterial small subunit ribosomal RNA", at positions 28 to 507 of the family's 1533-position model. The record is from RNAcentral.
GACGAACGCUGGCGGCGUGCCUAAUACAUGCAAGUUGAGCGCUGAAGGUUGGUACUUGUACCAACUGGAUGAGCAGCGAACGGGUGAGUAACGCGUGGGGAAUCUGCCUUUGAGCGGGGGACAACAUUUGGAAACGAAUGCUAAUACCGCAUAAAAACUUUAAACACAAGUUUUAAGUUUGAAAGAUGCAAUUGCAUCACUCAAAGAUGAUCCCGCGUUGUAUUAGCUAGUUGGUGAGGUAAAGGCUCACCAAGGCGAUGAUAUAUAGCCGACCUGAGAGGGUGAUCGGCCACAUUGGGACUGAGACACGGCCCAAACUCCUACGGGAGGCAGCAGUAGGGAAUCUUCGGCAAUGGACGGAAGUCUGACCGGGCAACGCCGCGUGAGUGAAGAAGGUUUUCGGAUCGUAAAACUCUGUUGGUAGAGAAGAACGUUGGUGGGAGUGGAAAGCUCAUCAAGUGACGGUAACUACCCAGAAAGGGACGGCUAACUACGUG